This is a long non-coding RNA of Apis dorsata (giant honeybee), 924 nucleotides long. RefSeq lists it as uncharacterized. Lineage: Eukaryota; Metazoa; Arthropoda; Insecta; Hymenoptera; Apidae. The record is from RefSeq and is a predicted model, not a curated record. The transcript is spliced from 2 exons.
UGGUGACACACAUUCGGCCUUCCGUUAUUUAUCUACGUUCGAAGGAAGUGGCCGCCGAUUUCCUCCCGUUCGACGUGGCGAGCAACGUCCACGAUCGACGUCCACGAGAUCAUUGACGAAUAAAAUGGACGAUUAACAGCCUGUUGCUUCUUCUAAUCGCGUGGGCAGCGUAAACUCACGCGCGUUCCUCGCAUUCCUCACGCGUCACAAGCCGGACUCGAUCGUUGUUCGCUUACGUGGGCGACCUUUUUCCACCUUGUCGCCGAACAGAAUGCACCUGUGCAUAGACCUGUCGUGGGCGUGGGCGAUGCUCGAUAUACCGGACGAACGUGGGCACGAUCUGCAUUUCAAAUGGCCUAACGCGCGAGUGUCGAGAUUUUUAGGAUCAGGCUUCUCGAAUCGAGAAAAGUAUGUUUGUUGAUCGUUAUAGAUACCAAGUUUUACGCAAUUUUCGUAUCUGGCCUAUUUGAUAAUGAUAUCACGCGUUUAGAAGGAGGAUAUUCAAUGGCGCAGCUAUGAUUUCGUUUAAAAGAAGUAAAUAGAUUAAAGGAGAUUAAUUUUAUGAUAAUUGUUUUACAGAUCUUUUUACAGAUAUCGAUAUUUUCGAACAUUGAUCGAAAGUAAGAAAGUCGCCGUGAUACGUUUUAAGAUCGUUUCUCAAGGAUUUUUUAAGAAACGAGGGCAAACCAACAUUGAUUCAAAAGUGGAUAACAAGAGAUAAAUCUUGCGCUUCCAACAAAGUCGAAGAGAAAAGUUUCAGCUGGACAACUGCCAGAAGAGCGUUUGUAAUUCAAUUUUCAUUCAUCUCGGCUUUUUUACCGUAUGAGGAAAAAGCUUUUUCUCCUGCGAGAAACGUUAGCCUUGGCCUGCCUUAUCAUCCGUUUCCUGCGCGGCCUCCAAGAUGGAGCAAGCACCGCUUACGUC